Molecule: long non-coding RNA, 43123 nt
Filed under: Setaria viridis
Lineage: Eukaryota; Viridiplantae; Streptophyta; Magnoliopsida; Poales; Poaceae
Description: long non-coding RNA (SVIR_LNC008539)
Source: RNAcentral
CCGUGGCCGUUCUCACCCAGCUUCGCCUCCAGAUCCAUCGCCUCCGUAUUCCGCCGCCGAGAAGGUUAGGGUUUUUGCCCCGCCGCCGAAGAGAAGGUUAGCGAAAUGCCUCUAGGGGUGUGUGCAACAUGUGCUUGUGACAAUGUUUCUAUUGGCUAGUACUGCACCUGUCUGGUUCUAAGAUGCUAAUCUUACCCCAAUACCUUUUUUAAGGAAAAAAGAGAGAAAAAUGAACUCCAACAAUCCACCUAAACCUUCCCCAAUUUUUUAGCGACGCUAAAAAACAGCCUGCCACUGCGUAUAUUUUACGUUGGCAUUCCUCCCCCAAUCCUGUUUCCCGCAUGCCCUCGUGUCCCUUCCGAUGGGCCCAAUACGAUGACGUGGCCUGUGUUUGAAAUAUUGGGGGCUAUUUAUUAGCGAUCUGCUGUGGAUUGAUAUGUUUUUGGGGGAAAUUUUUUUUGGGAGAACCCCCAAUACAUAGUUUUGGGGAAUAAUUUUUUAGGAUACUCUUGGAGUUGCUCUGGCAUGCAAAUAUUUUGCAUUUAUUUGGUGCCAAAGACGUCCGAAUAGAUGGGGCCACCGGACAAGUUGUGCUUCCAAAGACCAAAAGCUAGUAUGUAAUAGCUUUGUCUUGACCGUGAAUUCUUUUGUCGGACCAAAUCUCAUUGCUCUUCAAUCGGGCUUAGGUUUACUUGGUCUAGCUAGCCAUUGUAGCAGGUCUUGCAGCUCUUGUUCUGCACCAUGUGAUGUCAGUGGUCUUGUUCUGACUUGCCACCUUUCAUCGAUCUUACAUUCAGCCACUGAGAUAUUGGUGCUUGUCACAUAUGAGCAUAGGUGAGGAUAUUGAGUGGCGACAGGCUUUCUAGAUAUCCAACUGUCAAUGCCAAUUAUCACAAUUGUCACUGUAAAGGUGAAUUAGAGAUAAUAAUUGUCACCACCAAGCUGCUGUCGAUUUAUUCACUUUAUCCCCAAGUCGUUUUACCAUUGGCAAACACUGUUGUAUUAAUCCAUCUUUCCCAAGGGGAGUUUGGCUGUGUGUGAAUUUUGUGCAAAAACUUAAAAAGUAAACUGAUGCUUUGUUGUUCUAUACUUUUUUGUCCCUAAACCACUUCAUUCUGAGGGCCACAAGCAGUUUCCCAUGCUACCAUGCAGAUGCAGUUAGCACCAGUCACAUGUUUUCCCCUUUCCAGAAUUUUUUUCAAAAGAUCCGGAAGAUGUCCGGCGUAUAUUAAUAAGAAGAAGAGAGUUAGAUCCAGUUUAUGAGGGAAACCGGAUCCAGUCACAUGUUUUCCCCUUUCCAGAAUAAAGCUCUUCUUUUGUCAAUCUCUUAUAUCAGUGUCGUUGUCAAGAUUAUCAGGAGCUGCUCGUGUUGCCCACGUGGGGUUCUGGGGUUCUGUAGUAGGGGUUACAGGAGUGCGAGAGAGGGAGCUGAUGAUCGCAGGCCUCUUGGAUGUGCACUGAUGCUCAAAGUGGGUGUGAGUGUGUUCUGUUAGCUUGGAAGCUCCGACUUUUUUGUUUUUCAGCCCUUUUUGCGAAAGAUUCUCACAAAUAGGCCCCUGGCGGAACCAAUUCCAAAAAUGGACCCUUAGCUUGGCGCCAUCCACGCUGGCGCCAAGCUACAACGUCUUGGCACCAGCCAUCCUGGCGCCAAGGUCUGUACAUAGCUGCUGACACGGAUGCCGAUGUGGCGGGGCUUGGCGCCAUCCAUGAUGGCGCCAAGAUGGCGCCAAGGCUUGGCGCCAUGGAUCUUGGCGCCAAGCUUGGCGCCGUAGAUCUUGGCGCCGAGCUAUCUACCGCUACCUCUACGCGUUUCGAACUAAACAAGUAUAAUUAUUCCGAGGAAUAUGCAACUACCUAAGCUGUGGUUCAGCUGGUUAGGAGGUGGACUUUUUAUCGUGGAGACCUGAGUUCGAACCCCACUAUUGAACUUUUUUUCUACAUUUUAUUUUUGAGAGACGAAACAAAACGACGGCGCCAGCGUCCGUCCACAUUUGUUUUUUUUGAGAGACGAAACAAAACAGAGCUUUUUUUAGCCUUUGAACGCCCUGCGCCCCAGCUCGGCCACUCUGCGGACUGAUUUUUUUUUUAAUUUGGAAGGGAGGGCUGACACGUACAAACUCCACAAACUAUAUUAUCCUAGGAUACAAGAUUUCGUAAAAUAAAGUUGCACCGUUUGUUGGACAACAGAGAAAAAAAAUAAAGAAAAAAAAUAAAAUGUAGAAAAAAGGUUCAAUAGUGGAGUUCGAACUCAGGUCUCCAGGAUAAGAAGUCCACCUCCUAACCAGUUGAACCACAGAUUAGAUUGUUGCAUACUUCUCGGAAUAAUUAUACUUGUUUAGUUCGAAACGCGUAGAGGUAGCGAUAGAUAGCUCGGCGCCAAGAUCUACGGCGCCAAGCUUGGCGCCAUGAGCUUGGCGCCAUGGAUCUUGGCGGCGCCAAGAUCCAUGGCGCCAAGGCUUGGCGUCAUCAUGGAUGGCGCCAAGGCUUGGCGUCAUCAUGGAUGGCGCCAAGCCCCGCCACAUCGGCAUCCGCGUCAGCAGCUAUGUACAGACCUUGGCGCCAGGAUGGCUGGCGCCAAGACGUUGUAGCUUGGCGCCAAGCUAAAGGUCCAUUUUUGGAAUUGGUUUCGCCAGGGGCCUAUUUGUGAGAAUCUUUCGCAAAAAGUGCUGAAAAACAAAAAAGUCGGGCUCCCCCGUGUCUCAGGCCUCCGGUUCUCCUUUUAUAACGCAAGGAGGCCACCGAGGUUACAGGUGAGACCGGCUGUCAGGAGAAGUAAAAGAGAUAAACAAAGCUAUAGAAUACUCCCUCUGUCCUGAAAAGGAUGCAACUAUGGUAUGCGUGCCAGUUAAAGUGCUUCACGUUUGACCAUGUUUGUAGUAAAUAGUAUUCACAUUUAUGGCUCCAAAUUAAUUUAUUAUGAAAAUACAUUUCGUAAUUAAUCUAAUGAUGCAUGUUUAUUUGAUAUUAUAUAUAUUUAUACUUUUUCAUCUAUAAUAGGUCAAACUUGACACAGUAAAUCAUUCCAGAAUUGCAUUCUUUUGGGGACGGAGGGAGUACAACACAAGGAGAGGGACCAAGUCCCCAGGCCACCGGCGCCCUCGCCGGCCUUCGGCUCCUGCCGGCGCGUCUGACGGAGGAGGGCGGCCGCCGUCGCGUCCCGUCGAUGGUCUCCUCGACGGCUGUCGCCGCCAGGCGUGAUGACGGUGUUUCGUCGUGGCACCUGUGUCCGUUGGGGGAGGCGGCGGAUCCCGCCACUUGCUGACGGCCCGCGGAAGGCGGACGUCGCGUCCCUGUCGCCGGAUGCGUGGGGCGCGAGGACGGGCGCGACUUCCUCCUGCUCCGGGCGGCGCAAGCCAUGAGUGCCCUUGCUGCGAAUCAGGGGGAUCUGCGGCCACUGUAGCCUGUGCGGUCGUGGCUACAGUGUUCCGCUCGGGUACUUGUGGCGGGUCACGUCGAGGGGCGCGGGCGCCUUUCUGCGUGCCAGAGCCGCGGUGCAUUUAUGGCGAGACCGCUGGGGGGGCCCACAAGAUCCGCGCCCUCGUCCGUCGGUCUGCGCCCGAGGUGGACACUUGUCUCGUGGGCCCGGAUGAGUCCGACCCCCUACGCCCGGGGUCGGGCGAAGCGGAGCCUUGCGGCGAGGGGUCGGGCGCUCCCGACCCUGGGACCGCGGUCGGGCGAGGCGGAGUCCCGCCAUCGAGGGGUCGGGAUUGUCCGACCCCGGGGCCCUGGGUCGGGCGAGACGGAGUGGGAUGUUCUCUGCCUCUACCGGGUCGGCGGUAAUCGUAAUUACCGCAGGUGGGCCUGGGCCUUCAUGACUGUUGCUUUAAGCGGCAUUAGGAGGUCGUUAAUACCCAACAAUCAGCCAUUCAGGGACCCUUAAACACGACAUCAAGUAGGCUAAUCUAGUCGUCACGGCUGAGUUAGUUAAAAUGAGCCGCCUCCCACCACUGGUUAUACCUCUCCUGGAGAAAGUGUCAAUACUAGUAUCGAUUUUAGACAGGAUCACAGGAUCUUGGACUGGAUUUCACGUGGGAUAGUGGCAGGCCAAGAUAGAUUUGAGGGAAGGAUGAAAUUGGACAGCUUAAGAUGUUUGAGAUGCUUUGAAUUUCCUAAUCAUUCCAACAUAUAGAGAUAAAGGUGGACUUUAAAAGAAUUGACAUUAAGACCAGUGUUUCUUUGCAAAAUCAGUGAGGAUCUCAUGUAACCAUUUCACUUGUACAGUAUCUCCUUCGAUAAUGAUCAAAGUUUCGUCUGCAUAUUGUAGAACUAGGCAAGGGCUGUUGGGUAGAAUGGGUGUCUUAGAACCCCUUCCGGUGUAAAACGGUUGAUUGUUUGUUGAAGGAUGUCUGCAACUAUUAUGAAACGCACAGGUGAAAGAUGAUCCCCUUGACGAAGCCCUUUUCUCAUUUGAAUCCAGGGUCCCGGUGUGCCAUUUGAUAAAACCGCCGUCUUUGAUGCUGCUUUUAAAGCUGACGUCCAGUUGAUACAAUUUUUUUGGGAUGCCUCUCACUUGCAAAAGCCUGAACAGGCAUUCCCAAGAAAACUGUGUCAAAAGCUUUCAUCAAGUUUAAGGAUGUCAGCUCUCUUUUUCCUUUUUUCGCAACAUUGAAGUAUUGAACUAAGUCUGCAGCAACCAUGAAGUUGCCUGCUAUACAUCUUCUCUUAACAAAACCAGUUUGCUCUUGAUUCGCUAAAUUUCCAUUUGGAAUCUUGCAGAGAGAACUGUUGUUACCAAUUUUACUGGGCAAUUUAACAGAGAGAUUGGUUGAUAUGAAUCUGGAGUGCAAUAAUCUUUAUUUUUCUUAAGAAGAACCAUGAAAGAUCUGCUGAUUCUCACACGAUCUAGAAUGCAGUUAUGAAAAUCCCGGAAAGUUUGAUGUAUGUGGUGCUUAGUAAGUUGCAAAAAAAAAAAUGGUAGCAGCCCAAACCAAAACCAUCUGGUCUUUUGUCUUUUGGAACAUCUUUGACUGCUGCAAGAAUUUCUUGGUCAGAGAAAGGUGCUAUGAGAGGAAAAUCAUAUAGUGUUGGGUAGACAGCACAAAAACCAAUUUGGUCAAAAAAAAUUCCUGUGUGCCAAACAGGUUUUUGUAUAAAAAAGAGUUAGAAAAACCUUAUGAAUGUAGAAAUAGUUGCCUUCACGUUCCACGGUUCCACCACCUUUUGCUGUUAUUACUUGGUCAUUGGACUUUGAUUGCCUUUCAGGUACGAUUGGAAUUACAAACAGAUCAGAUAGGGUGCCAUAUAUCUUGAGGUAACAUUUCGUCAGCAUCCUUCACAAUCAUCUAAGUGGAUGCCCUUUUCAACAGUUAGAUUGCUUAGAUAUGGCCUGUGUUGAUGAGGUAUUUUCUUGUUGUCGUUGUUAGUUAACAUUGAUAUUUUUCCGUGAAGGGCUGUAUUUUUCCCCCAAUUAAUAUUAGCUACUUGCAAUGUUGAGAUGUUGUAAGCCAUUGAUCUUUUAUGUGACUGUACAAUAACAUGCUCACCAGUAAGAAAAUAGCCAUGCUAGACACAAAGAAUUUUGUAACACCAAAUAAAUUAAGGUGCGCCGAGGAUUUUUUCCUUUACAAAGCCUCUCUAUGGAAGGAGAUAAAGAAUGUACGGUCAGCCACUAUAGAUACCUGCAAUGGCACCAACUGUGACUGUAGGCACUCAAAUGCAGUAUGCCAUCGUUUAAAAUUUACCUGGCCUUUUCAUAUGCAUUCAUUGCUUUAACCACCAAUUCAACUAUAUAUCACUGUAAAAAAAUACAUAAAAGAACAAGGAUCGUGCCUGGAUGCCUGCAAAAGCAUAACUUGACCAUGAGAGAACAUUCAGGCAAAUUUGAGUCACAUUAAUAACAACAACAGAAUUUGGACGGAAUUACAAGUGUACAUAUUCGUGACCGGUUACGUUGGGGACGCCGCUCCCUUUUGGCUAGACAGGGCCGCGGCGCAUUUAUGGCGAGGUCGAUAGGGGGACCCACGAGAUCGUCAUCCUGAUCCUCCAGUCCGCGCCCGAGGCGAAUAUUCGUCUCGUGGACCCGAGCGAGUCCAACCCCCGCGCCCAGGGUCGGGCGAGGCGGAGUUUCUGUGGUGGGGGUCGGGCGCGUCCGACCCUGGGACUCCAGGUCGGGCGAGGCGGGGUUUAGUCUUCAAGGGGUCGGGAGCGUCCGACCCCGGGACUCCGGGUCGGGCGAGGCGGAGUUUAGUCUUCUAGGGGUCGGGAGCGCCCGACCCGGGACUCCGGGUCGGGCGAUGCGGAACCUGGCCUCUCCCUUUCAUGUUGGGCCGACGGCAAUUUCGCUACCUUAGAUGGGCCUGGGCCUUCAUGACUGUUGCUUUAAGCGGCAUUAGGAGGUCGUUAAUAUUUCCCCCCAACACAAUCCUAAGCCACAAUUUUGUAUCUCUUGUGGAUAAUUUUAUAUCUCAUUAUCUCUUGUGGUUGUGAUCAUGCUGGUUCUGCCAGUUGAUUCCCACAUCAAAACAUCGGCUACCAUGGCCCUAAACAUGAGGCAGCCAACCUCAAAAAGUCGCAGGUCACACUACAACUCAAAUCCAAGAUGCAGUGCCAACUACAUUGAAAGAAAGAACAGCUUAAUGAUAUAAGAAGCAGAGCAAACAAAGAAAGUUGCAUUAGAAUCUAACAUAACAAAAGGCAAACAAAACACUCGAGCACCAAUCGUCAAAACUUCAUAGCGUGGCAUAUUUUCUGGCACGGUGUUCCAGGACUGUAUAUAGUAGCUCGACACACAUGCACAAGCAGCUUUAAUACCGUGGCGCAAAUGAAUCUAAGUCAUCGCUAUACCAACACUCUCCUCCCUCCCGGUUUAAGUUUCAGGAACAAAUAUUGAGGCCAAAAAAACAAGCCACAUCCUCCCUGUCGUACUGCAGCUUAAGGAGCAGGAACAAAGGCCGAGCGCAAAAUGAGGCCAAGGAAACCAGGUACGUCCUCUCUGCUCUUGAUUUCAAGACCCUCAACGCUUCGCAACAGACUAGGGUCGUCCUGCAUAUUGCCAUGUCCCUCUCUUUCCUUGCAGCUCAGGGCAAACUUUGACGCUGUGGACCAUUCCUGAAGCCAUGGCCACAUCUUCCGAGGUAAAGUGACACUUUGGCCAUCCUCCAUGAUCUCCAGAAGCCUUGCUCGCAUUUGCCUGAAGCGGACAGCUUCACAGAAUAGGACUAUCAACUGAACCAGUGCCUUCCUUUGCCUUAUCAUUUGUCGAUUCAUUAAUCCAAUAUUUGGAUUGAAAUGAAGAAGCACAUGGUAGAGAUUAGUCAAUACUGGAGUUCCGAACACCAACUGCUCCCUGCAAACGCAACAUGAAAAGCACUGGUCACUACUAGGGAUGCACCUUCAGUUUUCCAGGAGUGAGUGUUGAGUAAUAAUAUUAUUUCCCUACAAAAAGAAAAAAAAGGAAAUUUGGUGCCAAUUGUAGAAUUAUGUUUUGACAAUCCUUCUGGGCACAUUAUAAUCAUUGGCAGAAUUGAAAUUAUUCACAAGGGUAUAGCCCACAAAAUUACACACAAAAUCAAGUGGAAGAAAAAGGGUUAGUAGCAAUCUAAACCAUCUGAAGAUAGAGUUUGUAAGCAAGUUGGUCCCAAAAAAUGCUUAGGUAAUCCAGAAACAUACUAAAAUGCUUCAGGACCAUAACCAAACAAAAUGUCUACCGCACUAAUUUAAAGAACAAUACUGCUGCUUCAAGAAAAAAAUAUUUGGCCAUCACCCUGAAGAUUAAAUUUGAUGUAAUUUUCAAGAAAGAAAAGAUAAGCUACCUCUGGUUUGGGCAAGAAUAAUCAAAUUUAUAGCAUACUUAGUAAUCAGUUGUAGUUAAUUGUUUAAUCCUAGAAAGAUCAUGGUAAUGACUAAUACAAAGAUGGGAUCGAAUGUAGUACCUGAUGAAGCCACGGGUCAGGUGAACGUAAGAUGACUGUAUGUCCAUACUCUCAACUGCAGGGUGGUCUGCUGGAAGUGGAAUAGGGCGGUCGGAGAACUUGAGCCACUUCCCAUCCCCCUUCUGUAUGGCCACAAGGUAGGAAUCGAUCUCGUCGAUUAGUAUGGAGACCGUCGGCCUGUCAGGGUACAGAAAGUUGACACGACGCCACCCUUCCGUCGCAGAAGUGAGGGGGACGUCGCGGAAGAGAUUGUCCUGCCCCGGGCCGGCACGAUCCAAAUCCCGCUGCGCCAUCCAAUUCAUCACGUGCUCGUACCCCUGGAGGGACGGAUCCAUUACGUCGAUAUCCACUGAAGGAACCCACUGUAUAUUGCAUAAAAAGACCAAAGAUUUAUCAUUUUCCGACCAAAUCGUUAGAGCAGAAUUAUAAUCGGUCGACCUGGUGUUACCAGCACAUGUUACACACAUAGACAUUACUCGACAUUGCAACUAGUAUUCCUAAUUCCGCCUCCACGGAGAGAACAGCACCAAAAACUCAAAAACAAAGAGUAUAUGACAAGAGCAGGUGUUAUUUUAGGGUUAGGGACAUAAGGAAAUCAUUUAUCCUAAAAAAUAGAAAUAUCCCGCACGCGCGCAGCGGCGCAGGCCGCUGGACUACUUCCCCAAGUAAUAAUCCAUCGAACUUUGAUUUUAAAAGGGGAAAAAACCACUUGAUUUUAAAAGGGGAAAAACCGCAUUGAUGCGAGCACGCCCGCAGUCCAAAUAUGGUUGAAAAUAACGAGCGAACUGGGGGAUGGGAGAGAAACUGGGUGCGUACCGCGAGCGGAUCCUGUGGCUCAGCCAUCGCGAUCAGCGAGGACGGCGGAGCGGGCACCAGGUGUCGAAUCCGUGCGGCGGCGCUGGCGGAGAGCAAGAGUGGGGCGGAGAACAACAGCGUGUGGACGACGCUGGUGGGGCGGUGGGGGUUUUUGUCUGUAAGCGGGAGGGCAGUGGGUGGGGAGUUGGGGUUUUGUCGCUAAGCGGGAGGCAGUGGUGGGGACUGGGGACGGUAUAGGUUUCGAGACCCUUCUCCUAUUCAUGCCGUAUCCCGGCGUCGAACACCUCCGCCUUCACGGCAAGUGACGGUAGAAUCCAACGGAAUGGCACGUACGGGAUGGAUUUAAAUUUUCAGUGGCACUGCGGGGAUGGAUUAAAUUUUGAUGGCAUGAAUUAAAUUUUUAAUGGCAUACAGGGAAUUUGCUAUAGGAUUUUCCAUGUCCCUUCGUCCAAAAAUAAAUCAUUAUAUACUUCUUUCAUAGCAAAAUAUUUAUCGCUGUUAAUUUUUUCGGAUACAUUUGACCAUUCAUUUUAUUUAAAAAUUUAUUGUAAAUGUACGAAAAGAUAAGUUGUACUUAAAAUACCUAUGAUGGUAAAGUAAGCCGCAAACAAAAAAAAUUUAAUGAUGCUUAAAUAAUUUUUGAAUAAGAUAAAUGGUCAAAUGUCAUGACUAAGUGUCAGUGGCAACUAUUUUGAUACGGAUAUUAUCAUUCAAAAUCUGUCAAAAAAAUAAGUUAUUACACCUAAUUUGGUACGUGCUUGUAUGCAUACAUGUAUGCAUCAGCCAACUGGCACCAAAAUAAAUAAGGUCAUAAGGUCAUUUUAACUCCUUGUUUUUUUAAUCCAUCCUACAAUUUCUUGGGUGAUUUGUUUUUUAGACAGAGGGAGUAUGCAUGUUUGUCUAAUUUGAUCAUAUCAUAUCACGAGACGAAUUAAUAUCAUUGUCAAAUUCCUUAUGAACUAUCCAAAUCCAACUAUUUAGGCAUGUUGUCUUUUCUGUUUCCUUAGCGUAAAUUUACGGCAUGCAAAGUAAUUGAGACUAGCAAAUGUAUUUUGACCAGUUAUCUUUAAGCUAAUUAAGUAGGCCCUCCUUGUGGUCCAAAGCGAAGGAUUGCACUUAUUUUAGGAUUUUUUUUUGAAGUGUUAGAAUUGCGGUUUUUAUUAGGUGAAUGGAGUUUUCACCCUUUGCAUUUCAGCGGUACGUAAGAAAAUUGGACAGAAACGUCUUUCUUCAUUGGAUUUUGAGUAAGUAACCGAGAUAGCACGGAAGAGAAUACUGGCACGUAAUGACGUAAGAGGGUGUUUGGCACACAGGGGUUAAAAUUUAGCCCCUAUCACAUCGGAUGUUUGGACACUAAUUAGGAGUAUUAAAUAUUGGUUAAUUGCAAAACUAAUUGCACAACCUCAAGCUAAAUCGCGAGACGAAUCUAUUAAGCCCAAUUAGUCCAUGAUUUGAUAAUGUGGUGCUACAGUAACCAUUCGCUAAUGAUGAAUUAAUUAGGUUUAAUAGAUUCGUCUCGCGAUUUAGCUUAGAAAUUCUGCUAUUAGUUUUGUAAUUAGCUCAUAUUUAGUCGUCCUAAUUAGCAUCCGAACGUCCGAUGUGACAGGACUAAAGUUUAGGUCCUAUCUCCCAAACACCCCCUAAGUAAACUCAAAACUUUAUAUAUCACAUAAGGGAAUGGUAUAAUAUUUAGUGGCAUACAAGAAACUUUUUUCAAAGAGAAAGAUUCAUGGUGCCAGGUUAUAGCGGUUGCUUUGGAUGAACCGAAGGAACUUUUUAUUUCUUGGCCAAGAGGGCAGUCCGAUCAAUUCCUGUGCCAGUGAAUAUGAACAGAAAAUGUAAAUGAAUGAAAUGAAAGUGGAUAAUCAAGAUGGCCACGAAAUAAAUGGACGAAGCCCAUAGGUACUAAAGUUUGGGUGUAUCAAACCCCCAGUACUUCUAAUCCGUAUGUAAACUUUCUUGCUUUCUUUUUUGUGUUGUCUUGUUCUUCACGGUGGCCUUGCAGCCGUUGGGGUCUUGGCAGCUGUGUUGCGGUGCGUGGGGGUGGCAGCUACCAGGGCAUGGUAAGAGCUAGCCAUAGCUGUCGAGACUAACACCGUACAUUGGUGCUUGAUCCAAUUCUAUCGGAGCAAGUUUAAUAACGCAGCUAGCAAGCAGGCUGCAAGGUUUCUCUCAGUUUUUUUCUAGCCCACUCAUAUAAUGGUUAGCUCUUUACCAUUAAUAUAUGGCCCACAAGUCAUUCUCACAAAGUUUCUUGGUUCCUGUGCCCAAGUCGGCUGUAAGCCUAUAGCCCGUUUCUCCUCUCUCACCUCUUCUCUCUCCUCCACGUCAACAUUCAGCCAGCUUACAGCCCCUUAUUAUACUUCCUCUCAACAACGUAACUCGAUCUGAGUGGAGAUUUGAACUAAUCGCCGUCAUAAUUAAAUCAACAACGUAACUCGAUCUGAGUGGAGAUUUGUUUCUUUUACACAUAUGCUUACUAGUAUGAAUUACUAGUACGAGUUACCAUGAUCAAUCAAUUAGACAAAGGAAAAGAAAAACUCACUCUCCAAAUGGAGCCUGCCUGGGGAUUGGGGAACUUUCGGCAGGGAUCAGACCAAACCAACAGAAAAGCUACACCUUAGUACACUCUUUUUGUUCGCAUCGGUUGGUUGGUUAGUGGGUGGUGGGGGUGCAGCACAACACCACAACACCACUUCCACAGAGACGUUCCACUUCCACAACACCACAGAGAGGAGAGAGAAAUGGAACGGGGGAUGCAGCACGCAGUCAGCAGCCCUCUCUCUCUCUCUUCAAUUUCAGUCUCGUCCAUCAUGGCAGCAGGCAGCUGCUGCUGAUCUGAUACCCGCUGGUUCUUGGGGCUCGUUUGGAUGGAAGCCCGGCCGACCAAAUUUUUGGCCGCGCCCAGCUCGCCUGCCCGCUGCGCAGUUCAUUUUCGCUGCCGUGCGUGGCUGAAUUCAGAGCGGCCGCCAAAAUUUGGCCGGCCAAUGGAUUGGCAGGGCACAUGAUAGUCUAUUCCAAACGCGCCCUUGGUCCGGAUGGAUGGGCCGGUUCCGGAGAAGAGAGUGGAGAGCGGCGGCGGCCAUGGCCAAGCUUCGGACAUGGGAGCAAAGCACAAAUUAGAUCACAGGAGAAGGCAUGCAGUUGGAUUGGCCAUUCGCCUGAUUGCUUCUACUCCUGCCUCGCUCCCUCGUCAGGGAGGGGCCUAGGGGUCAGUCCCGGGAAUCCUGGCCUGCAUUCUUUUCUGUCACACGACGGGCCCAGCCGCACAUCCCCAGGUAGGCUCCACGGUACACAGGCGCCCCCCUCUCUCUACCCCCAAUGCAAGCUGUGCUGCUGGACCAACACCAGUUCACCACCAUGGAUUGGGAUCGGAGGACCGAGCUCUGGUCGCUGCCUCGGUUCCUGUUCCACAGAAAAGCUCAAAAAGCAACCACCUCUCUCUCUCUCUCCUUUUCUUCUGUUGUUCGCAUUCGGGGGCUCAAAAGCAACCACAGAAAAGCUUUUUCAGCAGUUGAUGCAUGAAUCGCUUCAAGACGCUCAUAGACACGAACCAAGGCAUCACUACCAGCAUCAAGUGAUAAUUUGCAACAGCGGAAAGGCCGGAUAGAGAGGAGAAAUCAGAGAAGAAAGGGGUUCACACACACCGGCCAGAGAGACGAACAAUGUGGCAUGAUGCAUGUACACAGUGAACCUGAAGAUAGAGAUCAAGCGACUGAUUCCUUUCCUUUAGAGGCAUGCAGCGAGAUGAACACUAGUACGCCACAAACCACACGUCGUUGCUCAUGGGUGCGUGUGACUGUGAGAGAGAGAUGUGCAAGUGCAAAGGCUGCUGCCGUUGCCGAUGUGAACGUAUCAUCGAUUACUUCAAUUGAUAUGAUCAUGGUACAUGUUUCUUUUACACAUACUUAUGAGUUACCAUGAUCGAUCAGGGAAAAAACUACUUAAUCUCUCUCUGUGGGGCCUAUCGAUCUGGGAUCUUUGGGCAGGGACCAUGGGCAGGCAUCAAGGCCCUGCCAAAGAAGACAGGCAGUGGAUGUGCACGCGUCCAUCCGUAGUUGGGGCUGGGACCGUUCGCAACUUCGCAAUUCGGUGGGUGUGGGGGCCCAGGAAGACAGAGAACUGGAGCCCGGGGGGUACCGGAAGUCGGGAAGAGGGGAGGAGGAAAGCAGGAAAGGGUACGAAAGCGAAGCCUCUCUGUGCGCUGUGCAGAUGCACCUCUGAUUGACCGUGCUCCAGCUGGCCUUGCAUCUCCGAUCUCUCCUCAACAUCAAUCUGAAUGGAGCCGGUGGCCGGUGGGGAUGGAGAAGGCUGGACAAUCCAGGGCAGUGCAUCCUGCCGGUGCCGGAGAAGACGACACAAGAGAGGAACCGGGGAUUCGGUUUGAUGGACAUGGGAAGUACUAGUAAUCAACAGGGGUGGUCUAUGUUAAUUCAAGACACGGUGGGUGCAGCUACAAUUUUUAAAAAUUGAUUUCCAGGUUAACUAACCAAGUCAACAUCCGGUCAACUCCCCGUCCAAUUUUGCUGACCGCCGGCCUUCCCAAUGUAAACAUCACGUAACCAGAUGUACAAAGGCCUUGUCUUCCAAAUUUCCAACUUUAGCACUAUGCAAAAAGAUUCUCCAUCACAUCAAACUUUCGGUACCUGCAUGGAGUACUAAAUGUAGACGAAAUCAAAAACUAAUUGCACAGUUUUAUUGUACUUUGCGAGACGAAUCUUUUAAGCCUAAUUAGUCAAUGUUUGGAUAAUAAUUCAUAAAUACAAACGAAAUGCUAUAGUUGUGCAUUUAUGGUAAAAUGCAAACUUUGUCACUCCUAAAUUUCCAACUAAACAGGCCGAAAUUUGAGAUGAAUGAUGGCUCGGUUGGGACAUGGGAGGACCGCCGACCGAGGGAGGGAGACCACAGACGCCGCUGCAAAUUGGAAGGUGCCAAAUUACUGUGCUGGUACUGUAGCACACUAUAGCGUUUCGUUUGUAUUUGUGAAUUAUUGUCCAAACAUUGACUAAUUAGGUUCAAAAGAUUCGUCUCGCAAAGUACAACACAACUGUGCAAUUAGUUUUUAAUUUCAUCUAUAUUUAGUACUCCAUGCAUGUACCGUAAGUUUGAUGUGAUGGGGAAUCUUCUUUUUGCAUAGUGCCAAAGUUAGGAAUUGAGGGUGAAGUAAACAAGGCCUAGGACUCACGCGCGGCUCCUCGCUGCUCGUCAGUCGUCAGGGAGGGGGCGUCGGUCCGGUCAGUCCCGGCCGGGAAUCCUGCUCCUGCCCUGCCUGCCUUUCUUUUCUUCCGCCGAUCCCAACCAAUCCCCGGACGAGUACGACCAGCAGGCAGCACGCCCUCGCCUCCCUAGUCUCUGCUGUCUGCUCUCGCUGCUCAGCGCUCCUCCCUCCUCCACUUCCACUCCGCUCUUUUCUUUCUUGUCUUGUUCGCCUUCCUGCGCGGUGCUAGACUGCUAGCCUGGUCAUCAGUUCAGUGCAGCAGCAACACCACCCCCCACCAUGCUCCAGCAGCCAGACAAGCAUGCCAUGGAGCGUUUGUUUUUUGCAGGUCGGGAAGCAACAAGGAGAUGAUGAUGAUGGCUCUGGCGAGUGGUGGAGUGGGCCGUUGCGUCUGUUAUGGGCCAUGAUCCGGUUGGGCCUGAGGCCGGCCAUUCAUCUAGUUAGUGCAGCAAAAUCUGGAAAUGCCAUGUACCCUGGCUGGUGUGUGCUUGCAUGAGUCAGUAGGCAUUGAUGAAGCUUUGUCUGAAUCCCUUCUGUUCUAUCUCGAGUUCUUGCUGCGUUCUUCCGCAAAUUCCUCCAGAUUCUGCUAUCUUUUCCUUCUCAGCUAUCCAGGUCCAUAAAUAUAAACAUCCGACAACAGGGUACACUGAACCCAAAUCAAAUAAUGGAAAGCAGUACCGGGAAUCAUGUCUGAAGAAGAUUGUGCAUUGACAUGCCCACCUCUGAAUACGCCCCACACCUCUGAAUAGCUUCCCCAGUCGACUGGAAAAAUAAAUAUAUAUAGACAAACAUUUACAAAUCCUCUGGCUCCUUCUUAUGAGACAUCAUCAUGCCGAGACGAGAUUCAACACGGUAGUAAUCGUUUCUACACACGGUAGUAAUCUCAAGUGUUCCUUGAAGCCCAUGAUAUCGCCUUCCCACCUGGUCACCGCCUGGUUCUCACACACCCAGAUCUCACGAGCAACCUGGUUGAUCAGCCUGAAGUCAUGGCUCACCAGGACCAGACCGCCAUCCCACUCGUUCAGCGCCUCCGCUAGGGAGCCGAUGGUCUCGAUAUCAUCAAGAUGGUUCGUCGGCUCGUCCAGCAGCAGCAGCUGUGGCAGCCUGUAUGCCAGCCACGCAAAGAUCACGCGGCUCCUCUGCCCGUCCGACAGAUUCCUCAUCGGCAUCACCUGAGCCUUCCCCGACAGCCCGAACUUACCAACCGCAACUCUCAUCCUCUCUUCCUCGUUCCUAGGGUAUUCCUUCAGCAUGUACUGCAGGGCCGACAUGUCCAGGUCCAGCUUCUCCGCCAGAUGCUGAUGGAACUGCGCCAUGCGCAGGUGAUUGUGCUGCCUCACCAUACCAUCCAGUGGAGCCACCUCACCUGCCAUCAGCUUCAGAAGGGUGCUCUUCCCUGCCCCAUUGGGACCAACCAACGCAAUUCUAGAGUCCAGGUCGACACCUAAGUCAAGCUUCUUGUAUAACAGAUUAUGCGGUGUGUACCCAAACGUGACCUCGACAAACUGCAGCACUGGCGGUGGAAGCUUGCCAACAUUUGUGAAGCGGAACAACACCAGUAUCUUGUCCCUAACAACCUUCUCCGUGAGCCCACCACGCUCCAUCUUUGCGAGAGUCUUCUCCUUUGCUAUAGGAUUUUCCAUGUCCCUUCGUCCAAAAAUAAAUCAUUAUAUACUUCUUUCAUAGCAAAAUAUUUAUCGCUGUUAAUUUUUUCGGAUACAUUUGACCAUUCAUUUUAUUUAAAAAUUUAUUGUAAAUGUACGAAAAGAUAAGUUGUACUUAAAAUACCUAUGAUGGUAAAGUAAGCCGCAAACAAAAAAAAUUAAUGAUGCUUAAAUAAUUUUUGAAUAAGAUAAAUGGUCAAAUGUCAUGACUAAGUGUCAGUGGCAACUAUUUUGAUACGGAUAUUAUCAUUCAAAAUCUGUCAAAAAAAUAAGUUAUUACACCUAAUUUGGUACGUGCUUGUAUGCAUACAUGUAUGCAUCAGCCAACUGGCACCAAAAUAAAUAAGGUCAUAAGGUCAUUUUAACUCCUUGUUUUUUUAAUCCAUCCUACAAUUUCUUGGGUGAUUUGUUUUUUAGACAGAGGGAGUAUGCAUGUUUGUCUAAUUUGAUCAUAUCAUAUCACGAGACGAAUUAAUAUCAUUGUCAAAUUCCUUAUGAACUAUCCAAAUCCAACUAUUUAGGCAUGUUGUCUUUUCUUUUUCCUUAGCGUAAAUUUACGGCAUGCAAAGUAAUUGAGACUAGCAAAUGUAUUUUGACCAGUUAUCUUUAAGCUAAUUAAGUAGGCCCUCCUUGUGGUCCAAAGCGAAGGAUUGCACUUAUUUUAGGAUUUUUUUUGAAGUGUUAGAAUUGCGGUUUUUAUUAGGUGAAUGGAGUUUUCACCCUUUGCAUUUCAGCGGUACGUAAGAAAAUUGGACAGAAACGUCUUUCUUCAUUGGAUUUUGAGUAAGUAACCGAGAUAGCACGGAAGAGAAUACUGGCACGUAAUGACGUAAGAGGGUGUUUGGCACACAGGGGUUAAAAUUUAGCCCCUAUCACAUCGGAUGUUUGGACACUAAUUAGGAGUAUUAAAUAUUGGUUAAUUGCAAAACUAAUUGCACAACCCCAAGCUAAAUCGCGAGACGAAUCUAUUAAGCCCAAUUAGUCCAUGAUUUGAUAAUGUGGUGCUACAGUAACCAUUCGCUAAUGAUGAAUUAAUUAGGUUUAAUAGAUUCGUCUCGCGAUUUAGCUUAGAAAUUCUGCUAUUAGUUUUGUAAUUAGCUCAUAUUUAGUCAUCCUAAUUAGCAUCCGAACGUCCGAUGUGACAGGACUAAAGUUUAGGUCCUAUCUCCCAAACACCCCCUAAGUAAACUCAAAACUUUAUAUAUCACAUAAGGGAAUGGUAUAAUAUUUAGUGGCAUACAAGAAACUUUUUUCAAAGAGAAAGAUUCAUGGUGCCAGGUUAUAGCGGUUGCUUUGGAUGAACCGAAGGAAAUUUUUAUUUCUUGGCCAAGAGGGCAGUCCGAUCAAUUCCUGUGCCAGUGAAUAUGAACAGAAAAUGUAAAUGAAUGAAAUGAAAGUGGAUAAUCAAGAUGGCCACGAAAUAAAUGGACGAAGCCCAAGUUAGGAACAGAAAAUGUAAAUGAAUGAAACAAAAGUGGUGAAGAGGGUAAAUAAUCAAGAUGGCCACGAAACCAGUGUACCGAGGGGCUCAUGUUGAACAUGGCAGCUUGACGAAGCCCAACAGAGCAGGUGGUAAAUAUCUUAUUUUCUCACGAAAUGUAAUAGAGAGUAACCAGCAGGUGGCAGAAAUGUUCAUCGCACACACUCAUCAGUUGGAUGAAUUAUACCCUCCGUCCUCAAAUAUAUGAUGUUCAGGACAAGCCAAUUAGUCCAUUUUUGAACUAAUUUGUUUGUACUAAACUUCAUAUAUUUAUGGAUGGAGGUAGUAGUUGUUUAUGUAACAUAUAAAUCAAAAUGGACACUGACUCGACAAAGAAAUAGAUAUAAACAGGGCUAGAGGUUUACAUAAAUUAAAGCUGCAUGGCAGCAUAACCACAACAAGUCCUGACUACAAAACAAGUACAUGAUAACUUAAACCACCUGAAGGAAGCAACACCAGUCUGCCAGGUAAUAGCAUCACCAAGUCAGGGGCGAGCCAUGUCGUGGUACGAUGACACACAGUUCUGAAGUAAUCUAAAGAAGAACAGACCAUGCAACCACCAUGUGCAGCUCGAGGAUCCAAUGUGAAAAUAGCCUUCAUCUCUCCGGGCUGACUUAGCUACAAAACCAAACUUCUUCUCAAGCUUAGUGCUGCUCUCACCAGCGUCACCUAGCUGUUCAGCCUUGAUGCCAAGGAUCAGUUCAGCCCUCUCCUCCACGACGACUACUCGGCGCUGCAGUGUGACCUGCCCAUCCUCGUUGACGACCACCUCCUUGCCUCUGGUGUCCAGCAGCACUACAUCCUCACCAAUGCUCGUGUUGUAGGCAGUGAGGCCUGCACUAAAGUUGCCUGAUCCCUUUGUCCAAAGAAAUCCAAGCAUAAAAUCUUGUCAUCUUCAGACAAUGAACUCCCUUUGUCCUUCACUUUCAGGUCAAUCUCAAAAAUAGGCUCAUCCCACAGCAUGAUAGCUCGGCUAGGACAUGUAAGUUGCAAAAGAGAAUCCUGCAUACAGUGGCACACAAAUUAAAGGUCAGCAAAUUUCAAUGGCCUUUAGGAACAUCAUCACUAAAGGUGCAUCAGCAGCCAGACAAAUUAAAGGCCCGCAAAUUUCAAUUGCCUUUGGGAACACCAUCACUAAAGGUGAAUCAGCAGCCAGCAAUUUAUUUCACCAGUGAUGCACAUACAAAACCACUUAAUAGCAUUCUCUAAAAUGAAGAUUUAAGGAUCAGGAAUCUGCUCACCUACUGAAAUCUUGCAUGUCAGGGCCAGCCAACCAAGAACUGAAGUGGAUACCAACUAUAAAAACUACAUUUGAUAUACUUUUAAAAAUAUAACCAAGUUUUACUAUUUACGUUUUAAGAGCCAGCAGCAACAUGCAUAAAGUAUCUCUGAUGGAAAGGUUCUGAUCCUAAUUCAUAGUAUCAACAUGUAUAAAUAUUUCUUCCGAAUGCUAGCUUGGAGCUAAACGCCAUAAAAAUCAGCUGAUAUUACCAGUACUACCAAGCAGAUUACACCAUAUACAUGCAUUGAGAUGCUUAUAGUAGAUUAAAUGGGCGAUGGAAUAGGACAAAAGUUGAAACACAGAUGUUUGAACAUGCCUGAGAGGUGAGGGUCUGGCAAUUAUCUCUGCCUCGACUGAAGAGGUAGUUGCGCUUCCAGUCUAGGGAAUCGCGCACAACGACAAUGCCAUAGACAUCUAGUGGCCAUUGGAGGUCGUUGGUGAUCUGAGUCACCUUGACGAAGAAGACCUCCAUGGUAUCACCAGAACCACAUCCAGCAGUUACUACUGGCAGCACCGGUAUGUCCGUGUAGCGCAUGGGAGGGUACUGAGCUGAAAAAGGAAGGGGGUUAUUUGUUAGUCCAGUCAUCUAUCCCUUGACAUCACAAUUGAUUAAUGAUGAAGCAAACAACUGCUAUGUGUAAGGAAAAACUGUUACUCGUAGCUGGAUAUGAUAAAAUGGCGUGGAAAGGGGAUUUUUUUUACUAUAAACAUUUGUCAAGCAAUGUAAUUAGGAACAAAUAUAUGGGGAAAUCACAUAGAUCUCAAGCCAAUAUCGGAUUGAAACGGGGUUCAUAUUAACAUUUAAUAUUAUCUUUUAUUCUUUCUAAAAUAGAAUCAGUAGGUCACAUCAUGACGUUUUUUCUAACCUACACCCCGUCUGGCUAGACAGACCUCCUACCAUUGAUCUCAAGCACCAGUCCCCAGCAAGUUCACGCGUCUAAUCAUGCCUCCUUGAUAUAAGAAAAGAAACAAAUGCUACGGAUUUGAAAUUACGGUUUUUGAGUGGAAUCCUAAUCCGUUGGCCACGACUGAAGAAAGCUCCAACAAGAUGAUCAAGAUGAGGAAAAGCUGAUCAAGACGAGGAAAAGCAAGAGAGAUGUGCAGAUGAAUACGUACUCUCGGCCUCAAAGGGGAUGGCGCCGUUUCUGCCGAACAUCGAGAGCCAACUCUUGCGGUGCAACUCAAAGCAACCCUCCGGCCCCAGCUCCUCCUCCUCCUCCUCCUCCUCAUCCGUCUCCAUAGCGUUGUGGUGGUCGCCGUUGUUGGCCUCGCGCGGCCUUUUAGCAUCGCCGCCCUGAAGCACUUGACCCGCAGCCUUCUCCAGAUCUAGAUCAGACCUCUUGUGGCCGUGGCCGUGGCCGUGGCCGUUCUCACCCAGCUUCGCCUCCAGAUCCAGAUCAGACCUCUUGUGGCCGUGGCCGUUCUCACCCAGCUUCGCCUCUAGAUCCAGAUCAGACAUCUUGUGGCCGUGGCCGUUCUCACCCAGCUCCGCCUCCAGAUCCAGAUCAGACCUCUUGUGGCCGUGGCCGUUCUCACCCAGCUUCGCCUCCGGAUCCAUCGCCUCCGUAUUCCGCUACCGAGAAGGUUAGGGUUUUUGCCCCGCCGUCGAAGAGAAGGCUAGCGAGAUGCCUCUAGAUCUCGGAUUGGUGUUGUGUUGUGUUGGGACGGCCGGGGUGGGUGAGUGAUCACCUUGUUGACUGAUGAGGUGAGAGAGGCCCGCGGGCUGCUUGGAUCAGUAAAGGGCCUGUACAUUUCUCCCGGCCCGUCUUGGAUGACACGGGGAUGGCCCAAAUCUGGAGGUGGAUGAUUAGGGCCCUGUUUGAGUUACGUGGCAGUUUUUCAGCGUGAAAAACUGGAAGCUCAAAUAAACAACGAUAUUCUCAUGUAGUUUCAGAAAAACUGGAAGUCUAAAAAAGUUGAGUUUAUAUGGAAAGAUGGAAAGCUCAAUUUUGUGCGCUUUUCGUAGCUUUUUUCUUAGAAAGCUAACUAAAUCUUCUACAAGCUAAUGUUAGCUUUUUUAGAAGCAAAAGGCCAGCAACAGCUUUUCAGAAAAGCUCAAAAUCUGCAACUCAAAGAAAUAGGUCCUAGAUUUUCAAAGAGCUAGCCCGUUUCGAUUUCUUGUCACACGCAUUAGUAAGGCCUAGGUGACGGGGGACUCAGGUAAAGUACCAAAGUACCGCCACGAUCAGAUGGACCUCCAGGCGGGUUGCGGGCUACUGCUGCUACACCAAACCGGUAUUCCUAUAUAGCUUCCGGAAGCCCAUAUAUUACGUGGCUUCCGAUAUUAUCAUGCAAAUAGUUUCAUCCGUUAGAUAUGCCAACUCUCGCCAACCCUACCCCUCUCUCUCUCUCACCCGACGCCGCUGCCCCGCGAACGCCGCCAUCAUCGCACCGUCCGCCUUGCCGCCGGCACAGCAUGCCCUGCCACCGUCCGCGGCCGCCGGUCUCGACCAGGACGCCGCUGCCGCUACUGGAUGCCGUCGCUGGAGCCAGACGCUGAUGUGACGGGUUCCGUACCAGGGGUACCUUCAGGGAGGAAGACAAACGCCAUCAGGAGCUAAAAAGGCCAAACAGCCCAGCAAGAUGUUGACGAUCGUUAAGUACAAAAAUGACUCUCAAUAUAUUUAAAAAUAAAGUAGGAUUGGCAUUUUUCACACAUAUAUUUGGUUUCAAAAUAAUGUAGUUCCACUUGUCCUUGGAGAAUAUUUGGUUGCAGGUGAAUAAAGCACAAAAUAAAGGAAAACCACCCUCUAUGGAUCCAAGAAGCAUGCUUCCGACAAAUGAGAGCCGCCACAUGUGCAUCCCAUGGAUUGAAGGGCCCACAAACUACCAAAACCGCCUCAAUCCACUGGAUAAUGCACACAACUGUCAUAGGGGUCCACAUGUCAGUCUCCCACAUAAAGACGGUGGAGAAAGGCGCCACAUGGGGGUCGGCCGAACCGCCCUUGUGCCCUUUCAUCUCCACCUUCCAUGUGGCAGCCUGUGGUGAUGUCCUAAAGGCGGCGGUAGGAGAUUCCCUGAAGAUUCCUUCAGAGAUGCUGCCUCUUGGUGCUUAUAUAUAUGAGGGGAGGGGCUCCAUUUAGAGACACACACACAACUAGUGAUUCACUCUCUUCCUCUUAGUUUCCAAGUUAGUGGAGUUAGGCUAGAGUAGCUCUGCUUCAGGUUCUAGGUCUCCUUGGAGUCUAGGGUAUGGCUCUUGUAUCUUUUAUUCCUAGGUUGACUUUAUUCUACUUCAAAGAUAUAUAUUCUUUAUAUAGUGUUGUGCUUGGUUCUCAUAUGCAUGAGUUGCUUAUGUGUUCGUGCCAUGUUCAUGUGCUAGGCUUAUACGCUCGUAUGUUAGUCGUAUACCCUUGCUCUUAUAGCAUAUGAUCACGUGCUCUUAUAUGUGUUUAUAGACCAUACCAUAGUUUAUAUCUUGUGUGCUUAUAUACCUUGUAUAGCGUCGAUGUGCUAUGCUACGGCAUCAGUUCAAUGGCCAUUUCUACGGUAGCUUUAGCCUUCUAUACGAUAGCUCGAGGUGUCUGGAGUGUUGUUAACAAUGCAAGCAUGGUGCUUAGGUUGCAUAACUUCAUUGCUUAUGAGUUUGCCCCACAGAUAGUUAGAGGUAGGCCGCAGGUGGUGACAGCCUUGCCGGUCCUUUGUACUCCUCCACGUUCGGGUACGCUGUAGGAGUUCGUAAAUCAAUAGUAACUUCACAGGGCGUAACCAGUGCGGGAACUAUCUCCUCGCGUGCGCCUGGGUGAUAGACUGAUAGUCUAUACAGUGUGUAUGUAUGGUUUGCUUGUAUAAUCUGUGCAUUUAUAUAGGAAGUACAUAUGAACAUAGAGCUAACUCUUAGUCCUUCUCCUUAGCUUUGUUAUCUUGAGAUGAAUCAUGUGUGUGUCACACUAUCUAUUUAUCUAUCUUACCCCUACCUUGAGUAUUGACACUAGCCAUACAUGAUAUACUCGUAUGCAAUAGUAAACUCUUUUGACCUACCCGCCUUCCUUUGGGAAAUACGAUACCCUUGGGAAUACUCAUAGGUGAAAUGCUACAACGGUAUAUCGGUGUGCCUGCGUAUUUAUUUAUGAAUGUUAAUAAAUACCAACACAAAGCCAAGUGCAUGCUAGAUCGGGCCAGAUCACGACGUGGCCCACCUCCCGACCACCCCAAGUCUGGAGUGAAGACCACGGCCACCGGACACCGGAGCCACACAGGUUGGAGAAGGGCCCGCGUAGGUCCCACAGCACCUCGCCCGCUCGCCACCGUUGACACGGGAGGAUCGUUGACACGGGAGGAUCGGUUCCGUGUAGAUGAGCAUUCAAUGCAGGGCAUGGCCACACUGGCUGUCCCACGCCGGUGACAAGACUCGGCUGAAGGAACCGAUCUUUGGCCAAGGGGUCCAAGGGUGAGGCUACACCCCUCAGACCGCCCAGAACGCUUGUCAGGGGAAGGUACGCGCGAACGUACGAGCCCACGCGCCCCAAUGUCAUCACCACCCCUGUCAGGGCGACUCGUCAAGGUCAAGGAUCUGACCCAGCGCUAGAUCCCGUACGACCCUAAGGGGGGUGGGACCUAGCGCUAGGUGACGGUGUGAGAUGGCCAUGAGUCACCGAGGAGGUUGGGGAAAGCCGGAACAGGCGGCAUGCCCCCGCCCUCGCCUCGAGCUCAGGCCUAUCCGCUCAUCACCAGUACGACUGAUAGCCAUGACUCCCGUCCCGUUCAUUGCCACGGGGUUGGCAGACGAGAUGGGAGCACGCCACAGGCCAGGCCUCGCGUAGGCGGCCCACGCCGCACAGGAGUCGCCGUACAAGGCGUGCGAAGCCCGCUGCCAGGCUAGGAGGAUAGGACAAGGAAGACCCCGACCACGGCACCGCCCCUAACCUCUAAGUCGGGGACCCCUCCAUUUCUAAAAAACAUUGUUGCUCGGUCCCUGGUCUAUAUAAAGGGAACCGGGCCUUCUUCUCACUCUCUCGCACUCACUCGCACAACACACAUUCCCACACCGCACGAACACCUGCUUGCAAGCACCCCGUUGUAAGCCCUGUGCACACGAUCCAAGGAACAAGACUCCUACCGAAACUGGACGUAAGGACAUUCCCGAACCAGUAUAAUUCUCCGCCCCUCGUGUGCUAGCCAUCGGAAGUGAGGAGAGCGCGACGUACAUUCACUAGUCGGUGGUACGAAACACUGGCACGAUGCAAUCCAUUUUUUUUUCAAAAUGUUGAUCUCACAUUUGACUAAUGUUGAAUCAAUUCGCUAAAAAUAUUGAAAUAAUUUUGGGAAAAUGUUGAAGGUAGAAUUUUUUAAAUGUUGAUCUAGCUUUCCAAAAUUGUUGAAUCUGCAAUUUUCGAUAUGUUGAUCUAUUAUUUGGAAAAUAUUGAAAUCUUUGAAAGGUUGAAUCCGUAUAGGGACGGAGCCAGAUCUCUUUGUUGACGUCAGCUGACAUCGAUGAUUUCCUACAAAAUCAGUAGGAAAUCACUCUUCCACGCUGUUUGUUCAUGGAGCUGACACACAACGUGUAAUAGAGCUGAACACCGGUAGCUCUGAUCUCUAAUUAGACCUAAUGAACUUUUAAAACCAUGUUGCUUAUCUAGCUGUACAGGAGCCCCCACACCAAACAGACCAAGACCAAAGUACUGCGGCGACCACAUGGAGCUCGUCGCCAUCGGAACACGAGUUGCUGGAGCUCCUGCAAAAACCUUUUGAAAAAACACGUGAGACCACGGAACACUGGUACGGACUACGGACUACUGGCCAACCACUGGAUGAAGCAUGGAUUUUUUUUUUCUCACUGCUAUGCAUGUUUCUGCUGUUCUUUUAUUUAUAUUUUUAUUUUCGGAAAACAAGUGCACCGUGUUUUAGAUACGAACCCACUAGUGCAUUGCCUGAGCUCGUGCUUCAACAUUUGGCCAGCCUGCACUUGCAAUAUACUCCCAGGUUCUAAGAUUAUUUUACCUUAUCAAACUCGUAUAGCUUUGACCAAAUUUAUUGAAAAAUAUACCAACAUACAAUAUCAAAUAAAUGCAUUAUAAAAAAUAUAUUCCAUGGUUUUUCUAAUGAAACUAGUUCGAUAGCGUAGAUAUUUAUGUAUUUUUACAAACUUUGUUAAAAUUAAAGAAAUUUGGCUUAUGACAAAACUAAAACGACUUUAAAUUUGGAAGGGAAGGGGUAGGCUUAACCACUUUUGGUCGGAUCUUUCAAUACCUAACCAACCUGCCAUAGUGCCAUUUGACCAAAUCUGCCCUAUAUGCAUGGAGAGGAAACCUCAGUCAUCAACUUGUCUGAAAGCUAGAAAACAGCAGUACCCGUGGACUCCAUCCAUUUGAUGUGCAUCUGUCCGCUACUUUCGUCUCUCCUGGCUUCCCUCUCGUCGGUACCCUCCUUGCGCGGCGUCGCCCCUGCUAGGAAACAACCCCCCCCCCCCCCCCCCCCCCCCCCCCCCCCAGCCGGCGCGCAGGAGCAGUGGCAAAUGGCAAGAGGACGCGCGCGCCACGGGGAGGAGCUCAUGGCGCGCGCCUCGGUUCGGCUCGGAUGGGACCAAUCAGCCCGCCGUCCCCGGCGGCGUGAGGCACGGGCCGUGCGCCCCCUCGCGGACGUCCUCGCUAGCGACGCCGUCAGUCGCCGAGACGCUGCGUGGGGACCAGCGGUGGGCGGAGUACAUCCUGAGGAGGUGCCGGUGAACUGGGGCUAGGAGAUCGGCACGAUCUCAACUACGUGGUGACGGCGAGCCUCGGCACGCCGGGCGUGGCGCAGAUGCUGGAGGUGGACACCGGCAGCGACCUGUCGUGUGUGCAGUGCAAGCCGGGCGCGCGCGGCGUCGUCGUGCUUCAGAAAGAAGGACCCGCUCUUCGACCCUUUCCCAGUCCUCGUCGUACGCCGCCGUGCUGUGCGGCGGGUCCGCGUGCUCGGGGCUGGGCAUCUACGCGUCCGGGUGCUUGGCGGCGCAGACGCGCGCGCAGUGCGGGUACGUGGUCAGCUACGGCGACGGGCCCAACACAACGGGCGUGUACAGUACAGCUUCGACACGCUGACGCUGAUGGCGACGGACGCGGUGGCGCGGUGCUCGGAUUCCUCUUCGGGUGCGGCCACGCGCAGAGCGGUCUGUUCACCGGCAUCGAUGGGCUCCUCGGCCUCGGCCGCCUGCCGGUGUCGCUGGUGGGGCAGGCGGCGGGCGCGUACGGCGGGGCCUUCUCCUACUGCUUCCCGACGAAGCCGUCCACCUUGGGGUACCUGACGCUGGGCGGCGGUGCGAAUGCCGCGGCGCCGGGGGUUCGCGACGACGCAGCUGCAGCGCGUGACUCCACGGUGAUCCGUCCCUGCUGCUCUGCUAUACUGUAUGGGUCUCAGUUCUUCAGGUCAAAUAUCUCCUGUCAUCUUUCCUACUGCCUCUCGUUUCUCUUUUGCUAUCUCUGAUUUUCCCCAAAUUGAGUUCAUUCAUGGUCUAGCACCAAUUGCUGUACUUGGAUUCACAAAUAAGUUCUCUAAUCACUAACCCCACAAACCCCUUUUCUUCCCCCAACAUUUUAACGCUGUUCUGUUCUUGUUUGGUUUACGAUGGUUCACUGAAAUUUUAGCGCUGCAUACUUGAAAUUGAUGUGUGGUACAGCUGAUCUGAUGUUGAUAGACUCAUUAGGGAUCAUCUAGGUGUGGAUCUUCGGGUGAUUUCGGUUUAGCAUUGUAUAAACUUGAGAAUCUAGGGAGGGAGAGAGAGAGAGAGAGAGAGAGGAGUAAACACCCAUACCUUCGGGCUUGGCAGGAGAGGUAGAGUAGGAAAAAGUAACCGUGGGAGCAGCGAUGCAGUACGGGCCGGUAGAGUCCAGAGGACGGCGACACGGCCGGCGGUGCUUCCCGUCACUGCAGCGUGCCCAUGAUCGGAGGGGCCUUCUAGGGUUGUUUGGUGGGUUAGUGGCGGUGGUCAAAUUCGUGUGUUGUGCCUCGGCCCCGACCUUUCUCCUUUUAUAGCGUUGUGUGACAGGGGUCCGCCGACCAGUGGUGGGUUGAGCGUCCCCGAUCAGGACGCGGUCAAGGGGUCCGACUCAAUCGUUGGAUUGAUUCGGAUGAGAUCAAUCCUAACAGAUGUAUGUAUUUGUUUUUAAUCAGUUACCAUCUUAUCACUACGUGUUAGCUAGCUCAUACUCUGUGUGAUGGCUCCUUAAAGAAAUGGAGGAUCAUCUAAUAUACUUUGGAACAAUGAAUGAGUAUUUGUCCCAAUUGAUUCCUUAUCAUGGAAUCUGAGUAUUGCUCUCUCUAAUUGCCAGACUAAUUUCUUUGAUACGCUUUUACUAUGUUUAUAGUUAAAGUAGGAGAGAAAGAACUUAACUAUGCAUGUCUGAAAUGCUGUAUCUCUCUUGAUUGAUUUGCUUAACUGUCCGCUACUGGAGAACAGUAGCUGCUUUUUUAUUCCAAAAUCCAAACCACAGGCACAUGUUUUUAAGGUUAUCUUAUUCAUAUCAUGAACCUACAUUAGUCAUGAACCAAAUGCAUUAUCCUAUUUUUAUUCUUAGUUGAACUCUGGUAUUCUGAACCAGAUGCUUCAGGAGUCAUAAGGGACCUUUUUGUUCCUGAACUUAAAAGGAAAUGGAGCUACAGGUCUUGCUAUCUCAUUACUUGGUGUUAUGGUGAUGCCGUAAGCUUCUUGAUUAUAUUUUUGUUCCCAUCCAUUUGAUUUUGAACACAAAACUAUUUUUCCAUUUAUCUUUCAUAUAAAUUGUAGGCAUAAUCUUUUUCUGUACUCAGCAUUAGUGGUAUCAAGAAAAAUGCAGGUCCAUUCAUGGGAUUAAAUUAACCUCUAAACCCUUCUUUCAGCUAUUAUUGAUAUGACAUCCCAUAUGUGCCAAAUUCCUCCAACCCUGCUGCUAUUGUGCCACACUAGAGUUGAGUCGGUCCGAUUUGUUGAGAAGAUAUCUAAUGCUAAUUUCAAGUAUGAAAACGCAAAAGCCUUAAUAUGAAAUUUGCUCCCAACAGUUCAGUUUCUUGCAUGAGGCAUGUAGUUUCUCUGAAAUUGAUAGUGCAUUUGCUCUUAUGGUACCUUUCCUCGUCAACAUAUCUAUCAUAUCAGUUAGUGGUGUUGUAUGUGGUUUAGGUAGUUUUUGAACGCUGAAGAUCAGGCAAACUUGAUCUGAACCAGGCUUCAUUUUUAUUAAAAUUGGUAAAUUUUGUCUUCAUAUUGUUGUACAGCACUUAUUAGAUGGAUUGUUUUGAGCUUUGCCUCAUUUGACUAAUAGGAAAGCAGAAACUAUAAACACCAACUCCUCAUGGACAAAAACAUUUCUGAUGCACCAACUAGGUAGAUAUGCAUCAGUUGUCAGAUGUUUUCUGUCAAGUCUAAUUUCUUUUGUAUACGGGUUUCUGGAACAUUAUCUCUUUUCUUGUGCUAGUCCUCGCUGAGUUACACAGUUUUCUACCACCGGCUAUUUAACCUAGUCUAACCCACUCAUAUCUAGCAGUAUGGCACUAAAGCCUGUGCUGCUGCUAGCACUGCUAGCACGCACGCACACCACUUUUGGCCCAAGUGGCCCGGCCCAUGGGCUGUUACACCUGAUUCAUAUCUUAGCCGUUUGUAUUCAAUUUUACCCAGUUGAUCUUGCAUGUUGACGAUUUUUAUUGAGGUAAUUCUUGAUCCCCAUGUUUCCCAAAUACCUAAACCAUGAAUGACUGCACACUCUAAUUAUCCUUAUAGAAGAAGGAUCCUGAUAUUUUUUUUCUUAUGAUGUCAGUGACCACUUAAUCUGAAUCUUCGGCAUUAGCAAACAAUAUUCAUAUUCAUCAGUUAAUGGAUGCUAUUAGAUAUUGCAGUCAGAAUGGAGUCUAUCACAAGGAACUCCAGGUACUCGCUGGCUUAUCCUCUCAUCUUUUGGCACUUUUCACCUUCGGAUUUAAGCUGCUGUCUUUUUUUUUUUGCUUUAUGUUUUUAGAGGAUAGCAAUUUGUAGCACAUGGUAAAUUGCUCGCCUUUUCUACUACUGAGAAAAUUUACCAAAUACUUCUAUCUAUGCCUACAAGUAUGCAAUCAGUGCAUCAGGUACUUAUGAUGGAGGAAUGUCAGUGUGCCUAUUUUUUUUUAUUAUGCGUUGUUCGUGUUCGGCAAUUUAUGUGUCAUCUAUCCAAGAACAAACAUUUGUUGGACAAUUCGCGUUUACAAAACAAUGGGUUUGGAAGUUCAGUUUACUAGGAUAAGAGAUUAUAGAGUGGGUGAUGGGGCUUAACAGUUAGAAUGUGCCUUCACCCUGUUAGCCCCAGUACAGGUUAGCAGAUUCAAUAAACCCUCAAGAAUAUCAUUCUUGAGGGUUUAUUCCAUAGCAGUGGAUUUUGUCAACUAGAGCCCUGCUGUUGGAGCAUCAGUACAUAAAGAGUCUAUUCUGUAUUUAUUGUGUUUAACUUUCGAAAUGCUUACCUGUAGGUAGUUCGGGAAUUCGGAUCAUUCAACAACUACUAUUGGAGCUUUGUGAACCACAAGCCCAUCACAAACUGUUUCUUCUAUGCUCGCCAAAUAUCUACAAAGACUCCGAAAGUUGAAGCUAUAAGCAAGGACCUGAUGCGCUGAGGGUUCCAGUGUGUUGGCCCCACAACAAUCUACUCCUUCUGCCCUUCAUGCAGGUUGGGAUCGUUUACAACCAUUUAUGAUAUGAUGUUGCUUCAGGUUAUUUUAAGGCCUACAGCCAACAUCCCAACACAGGCCCAAUGAAAAAUAAUGGAGAACUAACAGAACCAGCAUAGCCCGAUAGAAGGUUGAGCGGUCUUCUGAAGAUUCAAAUAGCAUGUAGACGCCGGAGGUGUAACUUGCUGAAGUCAGCCUGAAUUAUUGUUUUUAUAUGUGAUAGUCAUGGCAGUUUGACAGUGCAUCAGGAUGCUAUUGAGAUUGGGCGGCUUUGUGGUGUGGUGUGGUGUGCUUUCUGCUUUCUCACAUGUAUAAUAUUGGUAUUGCAGAAUGCAGUUUGAUGUAAACCGACUCCUGUUGCGUUUUUUUUUUCAAAAUGUACGCUGCCUGGUGUGUAUGUACAAAUGAUCAUGCAGUAUACAAUGUUCUAGCAGUUCGCCGUUUCAUGGCUGACCUUGCAUCUGAUUACCUAUCGCAAGUUUCUUUAUAACAAAUUGUGUGCACCGAAUUUCCCAAUUGUGUGCACCUAAUUGAGGAAACAUGAUGAUAAAAAUACAAUCCCGGCAGGAAAAAAUUACAUUACAAACUAGACCGGGAAAAUGGCUCUAGUAGUAGUAAUACUGUGCUAAGGAAGGAAGCUCUCUUUUCUUUGUAGUUAGUAGUCCUCUUUACAUAUACAUUCAACGGAAUAUUUCAACAUCCACAGCCAAACUAACUCCCCAGCUCAUCUACCUCCCUGGUACUAACAAAACUCAACGAAUUUCCAGUCAAUCUUGCUAUAUGGUGACUACCCUAGAGGUUACAAAGUGUACAAAAUGCCUGCCUGCACCAAUUUGUGUGGUAUACUAUCCGUAUGUAUGCUAAACCUAUAUCAACCCAUCUUGCUGACACAUGCAAUCAGGCAUCGGGAAGGUGUAUAUGGAAUCGUUAGGUUUCCUGAAUGCAAUGCUCCUUACGUCGCUGUGCUGCAGUAUUUCCUGCAUGUUCUGCUUAAAGCGAUCCCAUCUGAAAUUGCACGAGGGAAAUUAAAACAACUCAUCUUAAUAAUACAGUCCUAAACAAAACUAUGCCAGAAUUAACAUUUAGGUGUGCUACAAAAUUGUGGACUGGACCAAUAUAUUCAGAAAUGUAAAACCUAGGAAAGGCUUCUGGUGUAAAAAAAAUUCAGGGAUUAGUUCAAUGGGCCGUUGGGAAGGCAUACUAAUUAAAGAAGUUGAUUAGGUAAAAACCAGAACAACAGCAAGAACGGACCACUUUUUGGUCAAAACAUAGUCUUCAACAAUUGUUUUAUCAAAGAAUUAUCAUCUAGACGGCCAAAGUUGAAAACCGAAUUGCUGUGAUCUGACAGCUACUGGCAGCCAGUGAUGAGCUAACCACUUAUAAUUAUGGAUUUAGUGAAUGAUUGAUAGUUACUGAUCGAAACGUAUGGUGAGUGCUCCAAACAACUGACCUGAUAUUGGGAUCGUCAAAUGAUAAAACUAGCUUCCGUUUGUCAGGUUUUAUUGUCUUUGAAUUCCCUCUAAACAGGUAACGCCUGUGCCCCAUCAGAAAGUGAGGGAAGUUUCCUCCUUGAGUUGUCACAAACACUUCACUCUGAACGCAAACAGUGUAAUCUAACGCUGCUAGACGAGAUGAGUGUCCCUGCAGAGAAUAGGUUGGUGAGCGGGGUCCCAAUCUAACUUCUGUUCUCAACCAAGACAGAUACUUCAGACUAACAUAUUGUUCCAAAUUUGUAUGUGGUAAAGGUGAACAGAAGCAUGCAUGCAUACUCGUUCGGUGUUAAAAAUAACUCCAUCUCUUCUUUAAUGAAAUGAUAUGCAGCUCUCCAGUGUAUUCAAGUAAACAGAGUGCUGGCGAAAGUAAUACCUUGAACUGAGCAAGCUCUUCAGGUAAAGCAAGAGAAUCCUUUGUCGCUAAAAGAGGGAACAUCUGGCCAAGCGGAGCCAUGUAUUUUUCAGAAUUGUAUAUUUUACCAGAAGCAACGUACAGGGAGGUGGUAUUGUCAAAUCCCAUGCCUCGUAGCAUCAUACCAACCUGCAAGAAUCCAUUCAGUGAGGACAUCAUCUCCAGUAAACCCUUUUAAAUGAUUUUAGAAGGCAACUUAGUAAUAAACUGAAGCUUAACCGACUAAACUGACUUGAGAAUACAGAAAAGCAGGAAAAAAAAGUGAUAAACCAAGCCUAUAGCAAUUUUUAGGACACUUUGAAAUACUGACUACAUGAUUCAGCACACAAAUGCAACUGUCUGUCCAACAUAAAAUGCUGCACUCCCAUCAGAUGAUCCACAUACAGCAGCGUAGAUAUAGAAAGUGUUUACAGUGGACAAUACAAGGAGACAAAAAGAAAAAAGGAGGUCUAACCUCUAGAGGAGUAAGAGGACAUUUUCCAUCCCUUCUAUUUGCCUCUGGAUUUAUCACUUGACCAUGUCGACGAAACUUGCCUCUCCAGCUCCUUUCACGAGCAUUGUCCAUUUCAGUUUUCUCCUUCAAGCCACCGUCAUAUGUACAGCACGAAAAGGCUACCAUAUCCUAAAAGUACACAGUAUCAGUAGGAUGGAAGAAAAUACCGUAUUGCGAACAUGUACGAGAGAAUUAAUAACCUCUUCAAAGCGAAGAUGCACCGAAACAUAGUUCCCACCAGUCAAAUAACUCUUUUUCAUCAUUCGGCCAACCAAAUCCUCUGCAAGAUUUCUUAUUGGUUCAGCAAACCUCAGUGCGUGGUAGUUUACCAAACACCUCAAGGCCUGGAUGUUCGAUGGAACUGACUGGGCUAAUCUAUUUGAGAAUGGGGCUAUGCGCACAACCCUGCACAGAACAGACAAUAAAAUGAAACAUGCGCCUUGGCUUUGUCCCAGUUAAAUCAAGCUCUCCUUCAUUCUAGGUGGAGUGGGGGGGGGGGGGGGGGGGGGGGGGGGGUAUUCCUUACCCUAACUCCAGCAGUUUUGGAAGCACCUUUUGCACAUAGUGGUUCGGUGAUGAGUAGGCUUUAGUUCUCAUAUUUGGUAUGCUGCUGAUAUUAUGAUUGAAGCGCAGCAAAACAUCUUCAGGAAGUUUCUUCACAACUCUUACAUGUUCUCUGAGUGUCUCAAUGAAAUGAUCUUCGUCAAAUAUAUCACCAAAUUUGCUGGAAGAAAUACACCAGGUCAGAUUCUAUAUCCUCAUGAAACUGCUAACCAAGAGGUACAGAAGUAAUACCAAUGAUCAUUCUCAAAUCAAAAUGUUAAAGUUUGCAGUUUAUGUUGUAUGUUAACAACCUUUCACACUCUUAAACUAGUAUUUCCCAACAAAAUUAUAGGAAGUCACAAAUAAAAAGGGCAUUUUAUAUGUAAGGAAACAAUGUGAUAAUCAGACAAAUAGUUACCUCGCAUCACGCCAAACGCUAUUCAGAUGAAAUGUUGGGAUCACAAGAAUUGCAUUAAGCAAGCUGGCCACAGCAACAGCAUCACAGAUCUGCAUUGCAAAAUCUGAGUUAAUUAUUAUGCAACUUAGGGUGAAGACUCCAAGAACUUCAGAAAUAUAAUAGAUUAGCAUCACAGCUAAUGGGUACGGAUCACAGCAGGAUUUUAAGAAAUGGAGAGAAGAAAUAUAUUGACAACAGGACAUAUAAGCAUUAAUGUGAUAACCAAGAUGGUACUUCAGACUGUUUUUUUUUCCUAGAUAGCAGGACCUUUUCUACAUAAGAAUAUCUAAAACCACUGAUUUGCCACAUUUAUGUCAAAAACUUAAUUGAACUAUCCAACUCCAUAUAUAAAAGGAAGGAGUGACUUCUUUUUCUGGAAGAAACUCUACGCUGUUGCCAAUUCCCUCAUUUUCAUAAUAAAACUAUUGAAGAAAGCCAACGCAGUUAAGUAAAAUGUGACACUAACAUGACUGUCAAAAAUCACUCAUUGGUGCACCCUGAUGUCCAUAAUCACUCAUAUAUAGAAGCAAGGUGGUAGUAACUUUCUUUUUAUGGAAAAAAUUCUAGGCUGUUGCCAAUUCACUCAUUUUUCAUAAUACAACUAUUAAAGAAUGCCAGCACAGUUGAAUAAAGUGCGUCCAAAACCACUUAUUGGUGCAUCAAAGAUUUACAAGGCACUGGACUUUCAUUUAAGGCAAUGGCAAUGGUAUAUCUUACUCAGAACAAUGAGCACACAUCUAUUCAAAAAGUAAUAAUCCUGGUACUUACAGAAAGUCGUUGUUGAUUCAGACCACCAUUUGCUUCAAUCAUGAGAUAGCCAUUUGAGGGCGGCAACUCUGCAAAGAACCAAAAUGUGAUGUAGACUAUCAGUGUUGACUUAAAGUUCAUCCAGUUUCCUCAUGAUUAUGUGGCCCAAGAAUUCCAUAAGGUAUAUCAUUUCAAUUGGGUACAUAUGAUGUACGAAAUCAUAGCAAAGAUUUUCAAAAUGGAACCUGAUCGAAUCAGCCUGCUGUUGACACAAGGCAUCCAUGGCUCCCCAGAAUUUUGAUAUUGUGAUGUCAUUAACUGCACAAUACCAACAUAAAAGUGUUAUAUAACAUGAAUUUGAUAAGAGCAAACGUGUCUAAAGAUGGGCACAGAUUGGUUCCAACAAGAGGAAAAAAUAGGCAAAAUAGCAAGUUAUUCUACAUGUCCAGACGUUACAGGGAAGUCCACAUUGUCCAUUCCCUACCAAUAGGGGUUCAUUUUUGGCACAUUCCCAGAUUGAUUUAACAGUUAAAUUUGAAUGAAGAUAACCAAUUGCAUCCAAAAUUGAAGCUCUCAAGAGGCACAGUAUUGUGAUCUAAAGAUUAUUUCUUCCUUUGGAAUCUUAGGAGGCUUAAACUACAAACAUUCUGUUCCUUGUUUAGCAAAGCAUACAGCUAUGCAACAGGUUGUUACUCAGAGUACAUCUAGUUCAUAAGCAAAGAAGAAAAAAGACAUGAUAUACUAGUAAAUAAAUGCUCAGUAGAAUCGAUCACUCAGAACCGAAGGUGAAGUAAACAAGGCGAAGCCCAAGAAACCAAGAACCAUCCUGUAUUUAUUUCGGCCCUGAACUCACAACAAGAACACCACCUGACGAAACAAGAAAAACAAUGCGCAUCCCUCCCGUUAUUAUUUUCCGAGCAGGAACAUGUAAAGGACGCCGAAAUUCGCGGAAUAGUUGGACUAAUCCUUGCAGCAAAACCCAGGAAGAGACGGAGCAAAGAAGCACGCGAGAACUGAAGCUUCGCCCCCCCCACAAGAAAAGCCAGCGAGCACCGAUGAUACCCGUAGCAAAGAAGAAACAGGGGUGGUCGCUACUCGCUAGAUAGGAAGGGGAGCAGCGCCCUCACCAUGCUGCGGCGCCACGAGGCCGAGGAGGAGAGGGAGGAGGCGGACGCGACGAGCGUGGCGUCGUCGCGCAUGGACGGCCAGAGCCGCUCGAAGACGAGGUGGCUGCGGUACACCGACCCGGGCUGUGGCGGCGAGGGCGGCGGGGCCGCGUGGCGCCGCGGCCGCUGGAGCGGGGAGGAUGAGGCCACCUCGACGCCCGGACCCCCGCCGGAGAGCCUCCCGGCGAGCAGGAACAUGAGCGUCCCCGCGGCGUAGGCGAGGGCGAGGAGCAGGACGACCACGCCGCGCCUCCGCGGUCCGCCGCCGCCGCGGGCGCCCGGGCGGCGCCACGCGGCGGCGGGCUUGCGCAUUGACGCCGCGAGAGACAUGGGGGCGGGGGACCCUCAGCGGCGGCGCGUGGGGAUCAUGUGAGCUCCGCUCGCUCAGCUGGGGUGGGGGGAGGUUGGGCGGAAACGGGCGCAGGGAUUAAUGGAGCUGCAGGGGAUGGUGAGGCGAGAGGAGGGAGGGAGAAGCAGAUUGGAAGGAUGGAAACCGAAAAGGGAAGAAACGCGGAAGGAAAACGUGUGCGCAGGAAUUAGUAGUGUGUAACCGCCGGAAUCAGCGUGGCCAAAUGGCGGUGCGCGUACGUGGCGUCGUGCGACGACCUCGGAUUGCCUUGUGCGGCACUAGCCUGAUUGCUUGCGCCCUCGCUGCGUGUAGCCUACUUUGGUGCUUCAUCUUGACUAUAGAAUCUACACUUCAGUUUCAUAUUAUAUUAUGUUCUGCUACCGACGUAACUAGGAAUAACAUAUCGUGGAUUUGAAAUGAAUAACAUAUCGUGGAUUUGAAAAGAAAAUUAUCUGAAUAGAAACGUUGGGUGAAACAUAUCCUACCAUUGUAUUGCAAAUCUAGCUCUCUCACGCUUAGCGACGUGGAGCAAGCGACCGUUAACUAUGUUGACGUCACAUGUUUUGCUAUUGUCUAUUAGAGUACUUGUAGUGUUCCGAUCGAGUCGUUGGAAUAAUAGACAUGUAACCUAAUACAACUCCAGUUCAACAUUUCUUUCUUUCUAUAUGCUGCUAGGUAACAAAGUUUAGACUUCCGUACUACUCAUAAACCAUAACCCUAAAUACAGAUCAGAUGGUUUCGUGGAAAGUUCAUAGCUAACUAUCCAACUAUUUUGAAAUUCGUGGCUCCUGUCUUUUAUUUUGGUGGCAACUUAAACGAAAUAGCCUUUUUUAGCGAUACAUGAAUAAAAUAGCCUUUUCCGGUUGCGGUUGAACGCUCUCACGAAAAUAUGACAUCCGACAAGAACCUUGAAAACAAGCGUGCACCUGAAGAUCGCAGGCACAGAGAAUCCAAGGAUUCGACGGAGCUCCCUUGUGGGUGAUGCAAACUUUCAACGGUCCUCGGAUGGGGGCGUGGACCUGGGACUGUGAGGGCAGGCUCUGUUUAGUGCGCAAACCGUCAAAUCAAAACCAGCUGCUAGUACUCUCUCUCUCUCUCUCUCCCCGUGGAAGCCACUGCCAAGAGAGAGUAGUGCUUCUGGCUCUGCCUGUUGCUGUCUGAUCAAAUUAGUGGUGUUAUUCAUCUGACACCGGAUGGUAGUUCGCAGCGCACACCUAUGGGGUGGCUCUAGUGGUUUAGCCUUUAGGACUAGGCAUAUUUGCUGAUUACUGAAACAAUAUUUCGUCCAAGAAAUUCUCUUGGCUCUAGUGGUGAAUGGAGACGGCGCGUGGAUUUUCUCGAGAAUUAUGAGGGUGUUUGAUACUAGGUGCUAAAUUUUAACAGUGUCGCAUCGGAUAUUCGGAUGCUAAUUAGGAUGAGCUAAUUAUAAAACUAAUUGCUGAACUCUGUGCUAAUUCGCGAGACGAAUCUAUUAAGCCUAAUUAAUCCGUCAUUAGCAAAUGGUUAUUGUAGCACCACAUUAUCAAAUUAUGAACUAAUUAGGCUUAAUAGAUUCGUCUCGCGAAUUAAACUAUCUGUGCAAUUAAUUGUAAUUAGACUAUAUUUAAUACUCCUAAUUAGCAUCAAACAUCCGAUAUGCUCCGGAGCGGCCCCUCGGGCGUCGUCGAUUAUCCGCACGCGGAGGUCAACGGCGCGGGCUUCGACGACUCCACGCGCGUGCUCUGCCUCAGGGACGGGAUGGCCAGCAUCGUCUUCGCCAAGCCCGGUGACGCGCGCUGGACGGUGGUGCCACUGCUACGUCAGCUCGCCGGAAGGUUCGGUCUACCUGGUGUUGCGGUACGGAGAGGCGUCGAGCACGUCGGCGUUCCCAUCCAUUGCGGCUGGCGCCAUAUACACAUACACCAAUCUCGGGGCUUCAGCGUCUAACGACAUCGUGUCGACAAGCAGAGGAACAAAGGAGGACCGAACCACACCGCAGCCGCACAAGCUCGUCUUCCAUGAACACCGGGGUUUAGCUCCGGCUGCCAGUGCCAGGCCCUGCAACUUCUCUUGUUUGGAUUGGCGUGAUUUUGUUUUGCAACCUAAAAGAUCGAGAAAAUAUUCUACUUGACGUAAUUUAUCGAUCAAUGAGCCAAACACUCUUUCGGGUGGGGACAAAGUUGGUAUUUCUCAAAACACAGCCAACUGGAGGGCUGGGACGGAAUCUGACAGCCUUUUAUGGUAAAAUUAUCACAACAAUAAAUCGACAAAGUAACUUUAAUUUAGGAGACUAAAAGCAAAGAUCAACGACAAAUGAAAAGUACUUAAUAACACAAACAUCCAGUCGGUACAAUGUAUCUUAGAACCACAGAUUCUUCACCGAGGCAAUUCUGCCUUUGCCAUUAAGGUCUGUAAUCCUACCAUUUUGCCACUGGACACUCCCAAGGUUUGUUUUUACCACGUGAAGGGUCCCAGUGGCAAAAAGUCAAAAACCAAAAUGCAUCUGGGAUUUCAUCACUUGAUGGCAAAAGCAGAAUUUGCGCGCUCUUACACUGCAGCCACUUGGUUGUACAAGCAGCCGUAGGAUUAAGCAAAAGGUGGAUCACGUGAUCAGUUCAGAUCCUAGUAAACCUGGUAAUAACCUAAUCUAGUUUAUCCGUGAUACUUCAUGGUUCUAAGUUCAGUGUGGCGUCUGCACUGGCCUCGACUUCCUUCUUGCUCCUGAUCUUGCAUCUCCUCUUUGCUUCCUCAUCUAGGUAGACCAGGUCUUCGACGACCGCAAUGUGCGCAUACAGCAGCUCUUCCAGGUUGUCAACAGGAGCAGCCUUCUUACCUUUGCCAUCUCUCAUCUGCUGGAACUCUUCCUUACCGUGGUUUCUGCUGGAGAAAUAGUCGUUGAUUCUCAUGGCUUCCUGAAACCCAGAUAUUGUUGGCUGGAACUUCACCAGGAAGACACUCUGAUUAGCAGGUCUUCCAUGGCUAACCUUCACCUUCUCACGUGGUACCCCUAUAUCUGGAUAAACAAAACAACAUGAACAACUAUUGGAGUCAAUAGCACAAGGCUGCUAUUAACAACUAAAGAUUAACCUCUCAGAAAGCUGCAUUAUUACAAAUGCAUUCAUUUUGCUACGAAAAUACUACCAUAAUCACAAAGGAACAAACAAGUAUGCCUAAAUAAGCCAAUGUAUCAGUCCAUUCAUAACAUCUUAAGGAAAUACUACAGAAGACAACAUAAGAACAUAUUUAGCCACAAUCAUAAUUUCUAAGGUAUCCAUAUUGAUAAACAAAAAGUUAACAAGUGCACAGGUAUGUUCUUCUGAGGCUCAGCGGAAACUAACUUGCCAGUACGCCUUCAAUUUCUUCCAUGGACACAACCUUUGCUUCAGUAUCCUUUGCCUUGCUCACGAUUGAGCUGUUAUGUAUCACAACUACUGGAGGCCACAACAUGAGAUCUCCCCUCAUGGCAUUUACUUCCUCAGAUGAAAUGGAGUGAUGGGCUUUAGAUGUGUCUGGAGCAACAAGCCAAUUCCACCCCAUCAAAACACAGAGUGCUUUGUGAAACCCUAAGUGUUUUGUCUUCAACCCUGCUUUGGAUGUAUCAUAAGCAUGUGAUAGCAAGGCAUCAAGAUCUGGGAUUUCACCACGUGAAGGGUCCCAGUGGCAAAAAGUCAAACAUCCAGUCGGUACAAUGUAUCUUAGAACCACAGAUUCUUCACCGAGACAAUUCUGCCUCUACCAUUAAGGUCUGUAAUCAUUAUAUACUUCCUCCAUAGCAAAAUAUUUAUCGCUGUUAUUUUUUUCCGAUACAUCUGACCAUUCAUUUUAUUUAAAAAUUUAUUGUAAAUGUACGAAAAGAAUAUUUAUGAUGGUAAAGUAAUCAUUUAUUGUAAAUGGCUCAGCCACGUAGAUCUCGCCGCGGCGGGGGAGCGGUGGCGAGCCGAGUCGGCCCCUCCCUCCCACGAACGGGAGCGGCGGCGAGCCUGGGUCGGCCCCUCCCAUCCACGGACGGGAGUGGCGGCAUCGCCCCCGAGUCAGCACCUCCCUCCCACGGACGGAAGCGGCGGCGGGAGCUGCGGGCCUGCGACGACGCCCCGGCUUGGACCUCUGCGGACGGGAGCGGUGGCGGCGCCCCGGCUCAAACCUCCUGCGGACGGGUGCGGCGGGGGCGCAGGCGCAGGGGAGAUCGGGAGGGGGGAAAGGAGUUCUCUUUCUCUCUCCCACUUUCAUGUGGGACCCACAGAGGCCUUCACGGCAAGUGACGGUAGAAUCCAACGGAAUGGCAAGUACGGGAUGGAGUUAAAUUUUCAGUGGCACUGAGGGGAUGGAGUUAAUUUUGAUGGCACGUAAGGAAUGAGUUAAAUUUUUAAUGGCAGAUAGGGAAUUUGCUUAGGGUUUUUCAUGUCCCUUCGUUCAAAAAUAAAUAUACUUCCUCCAUAGCAAAAUAUUUAUCGCUGUUAAUUUUUUCUGAUACAUCUGACCAUUCAUUUUAUUUAAAAAUUUAUUGUAAACGUACGAAAAGAAUAUUUAUGAUGGUAAAGUAAGCCACAAACAAAAACAAAAUAAAUGAUGCUUAAAUAAUUUUUUAAUAAUAUGAAUGGUUAAGACUAAGUGUCAUUGACAGCUAUUUUGAUACGGAUAUUAUCAUUCAAAAUUUGUCAAAAAAAAAAUAAGUUAUUACACUUAAUUUAGUACGUGCUUAUAUGCACAGGUAUGCAUCAGUCAAUUAGCACCAGAAUAAAUAAGGUCAUUUUAACUCCUUGUUUUUUUUAAUCCAUCCUACAAUUUCUUGGGUGAUUUGUUUUUUUGACAGAGGGAGCAUGCAUGUUUGUCUAAUUUGAUCAUAUCACAUCACAAGACGAAUUAAUAUCAUUGUCAAAUUCCUUAUGAACUAUCCAAAUCCAACUAUUUAGGCAUGUUGUCUUUUCUUUUUCCUUAGCGUAAAUUUACGGCAUGCAAAGUAAUUGAGACUAGCAAAUGUAUUUUGACCGGUUAUCUUUAAGCUAAUUAAGUAGGCCCUCCUAGUGGUCCAAAGCGAAGGAUUGCACUUUUUUUAGGAUUUUUUUGAAGUGUUAGAAUUGCGGUUUUUAUUAGGUGAAUGGAGUAUGUGAAAGUUUUCACCCUUUGCAUUUCAGCGGUACGUAAGAAAAUUGGACAAAAACGUCCUUCUUCAUUGGAUUUUGAGUAAGUAACCGAGAUAGCACGGAAGAGAAUGGAAAUUUAAGUACUGGCACGUAAUGACGUAAGUAAACUCAAAACUUUAUAUAUCACAUAAGGGAAUGGUAUAAUGUUUAGUGGCAUACAAGAUACUUUUUUCAAAGAGAAAGAUUCAUGGUGCCAGGUUCCAGCGGUUGCUUUGGAUGAACUGAAGGAACUUUUUAUUUCCUGGCCACGAGGGCAGUCUGAUCAAUUCCUGUGCCAGUGAAUAUGAACAGAAAAUGUAAAUGAAUGAAACGAAAGUGGUGGAGAGGGUAAAUAAUCAAGAUGGCCACGAAACCAGUGUACGAGGGGCUCAUGUUGAACAUGGCAGCUUGACGAAGCCCAACAGAGCAGGUGGUAAAUAUCUUAUUAUUUUCUCACGAAAUGUAAAUAGAGAGUAAUUAGGUGGCAGAAAUGUUCAUCGCACACACUCAUCAGUUGGAUGAAUUAUACCCUCCGUCCUCAAAUAUAUGAUGCUUAGGACAAGCAAAUUAGACCAUUUUUGAACUAAUUUGUUUGUCCUAAACUUCAUAUAUUUAUGGAUGGAGGUAGUAGUUGUUUAUGUAACAUAUAAAUCAAAAUGCAUACUGACUCGACAAAGAAAUAGAUAUAAUCAGGGCUAGAGGCUUACAUAAAUUAAAUCUGCAUGGCAGCAUAACCAGAACAAGUACCAGACAUCAGUUCACAAGCAUCUUACAUACAUAUGUUAUAACACUAGGUACACUGACUACAAAACAACUACAUAAUAACUUAAACCACCCGAAGGAAGCAACAUUAGUUUGCCAGGUAAUAGCAUCACCAAGUCAGUGGCCGAGUCAUGUCGUGGUACGAUGACACACAGUUCUGAAGUAAUCUAAGGAAGAAGAGACCAUGCAACCACCAUGUGCAGGCUCGAGGAUCCAAUGUGAAAAUAGCCUUGAUUUCUCAGGGCUGACUUAGGUACAAAACCAAACUUCUUCUCAAGCUUAGUGCUGCUCUCGCCAGCGUCACCUAGCUGUUCAGCCUUGAUGCCAAGGAUCAGUUCAGCCCUCUCCUCCACGACGACUACUCGGCGCUGCAGUGUGACCUCCCCAUCCUCGUUGACGACCACCUCCUUGCCCCUGGUGUCCAGCAGCACUACAUCCUCACCAAUGCCCGUGUUGCAGGCAGUGAGGCGUGCACUAAAGUUGCCUGAUCCCUUGCUGAUGCGGGCAGUGAUGGUCGCCUCCACGGAGCGCUUGACAUGAGCGUACCUGACCUCCACUGUGCUAUGCUUGCUUGAAAGCACCUCUGUUCUGGUGUAACUGAGACUGCCUCUGUAAGAGAUGUUGUUGUAUCCAAAGAAAUCCAAGCAUAAAAUCUUGUCAUCUUCAGACAAUGAACUCCCUGUGUCCUUCACUUUCAGGUCAAUCUCAAAAAUAGGCUCAUCCCACAGCAGGAUAGCUCGGCUAGGACCUGUAAGUUCCAAAAGAGAAUCCUGCAUACAGUGACACAAAUUCAAGGCCAGCAAAUUUCAAUUGCCUUUAGGAACACCAUCACUAAAGGUGCAUCAGCAGCCAGACAAAUUAAAAGCCCGCAGAUUUCAAUUGCCUUUGGAAACACCAUCACUAAAGGUGAAUCAGCAGCCAGCAAUUUAUUUCACUAGUGAUGCACAUACAAAACCACUUAAUAGCAUCCUCUAAAAUGCAGAUUUAAGGAUCAGGAAUGUGCCCACCUACUGAAAUCUUGCAUGUCAGGGCCAGCCAACCAAGAACUGAAGUGGAUACCAACUAUAAAAACUACAUUUGAUAUACUUUUAAAAAUAUAACCAAGUUUUACUAUUUACGUUUUAAGAGCCAGCAGCAACAUGCAUAAAGUAUCUCUGAUGGAAAGGUUCAGAUCCUAAUUCACAGUAUCAACCUGUAUAAAUAUUUCUUCCGAAUGCUAGCUUGGAGCUAAGCGCCAUAAAAAUCAGCUGAUAUUACCAGUACUACCAAGCAGAUUACACCAUAUACAUGCAUUGAGAUGCUUAUAGUAGAUUAAAUGGGCAAUGGAAUAGGACAGAAGUUGAAACACAGAUGUUUGAACAUGCCUGAGAGGUGAGGGUCUGGCAAUUAUCUCUGCCUCGCCUGAAGAGGUAGUUGCGCUUCCAGUCUAGGGAAUCGCGCACAGCGACAAUGCCAUAGACAUCUAGUGGCCAUUGGAGGUCGCUGGUGAUCUGAGUCACCUUGACGAAGAAGACCUCCAUGGUAUCACCAGGUCCAGCAGUUAAUGGCAGCAUCGGUAUGUCCGUGUAGCACAUGGGAGGGUACUGGGCUGAAAAAGGAACGGGGUUAUUUGUUAGUCCAGUCAUCUAUACCUAGACAUCAUAAUUGAUUGAUGAUGAAGCAAACAAAUGCUGUGCAUAAGGAAAAACUGUUACUCGUAUAGCUGCAUAUGAUAAAAUGGCUUGGAAAGGGGAUUUUUUUACUAUAAACAUUUGACAAACAAUGUAAUUAGGAGCAAAUAUAUGGGGAAAUCAUAUAGAUCUCAAGCCAAUAUGGGAUUGAAACGGGGUUCAUAUUAACAUUUAAUAUUAUCUUUUAUUCUUUCUAAAAUAGAAUCAGUAGGUUUUGUAAACAACAGGAUCUAAAACGGAUGACCCACAUCAUGACGUUUUUUCUAACCUCCUACCAUUGAUCUCAAGCACCAGUCCCCAGCAAGUUCACGCGUCUAAUCAUGCCUCCUUGAUAUAAGAAAAGAAACAAAUGCUACGGAUUUGAAAUUACGGUUUUUGAGUGGAUCCUAAUCCGUUGGCCACGACUGAAGAAAGCUCCAACAAGAUGAUCAAGACGAGGAAAAGCUGAUCAAGACGAGGAGAAGCAAGAGAGAUGUGCAGACGAAUACGUACUCUCGGCCUCGAAGGGGAUGGCGCCGUUUCUGUCGAACAUCGAGAGCCAACUCUUGCGGUGCAACUCAAAGCAACCCUCCGGCCCCAGCUCCUCCUCCUCCUUCUCCUCAUCCGUCUCCAUAGCGCUGUGGUGGUCGCCGUUGUUGGCCUCGCGCGGCCUUUUAGCAUCGCCGCCCUGAAGCACUUGACCCGCGGCCUUCUCCAGAUCCAGAUCAGACCUCUUGUGGCCGUGGCCGUGGCCGUUCUCACCCAGCUUCGCCUCCAGAUCCAGAUCAGACCUCUUGUGGCCGUGGCCGUUCUCACCCAGCUUCGCCUCCAGAUCCAUCGCCUCCAUAUUCCGCCGCCGGGAAGGUUAGGGUUUUUGCCCCGCCGCCGAAGAGAAGGCUAGCGAGAUGCCUCUAGAUCUCGGAUUGGUGUUGGGACGGCCGGGGUGGGCUUGUUGACUGAUGAGGUGAGAGAGGUCCGCGGGCUGCUGGGAUCAGUAAAGGGCCUGUACAUUUCUCCCGGCCCGUGUUGGAUGACAUGGGG